AGCGCCACCUGUUGGUAUCGUGUGACACUAAAAUAGAUUUAAAAAAGAAGGGCGCUGAUUUUAAUAAACACCCAUCCUGACCGCGUUCAUCAUGUUUAUGUGAAGUAUUAUUUGAUUAUUACAGUUCCGAGCAUAUUUUAUUGUGUCAGAAGUGAAAGUGGCUGUUUGUUGUGCAAUUCGUGAUGGCAAAUAUGAAGAAUUAUUAGCAAGCGAAGAUUCCUGAGGCUGAGGCAGUGAGGGAGAGAUGUUCUUUACAACAUAGUGAGUAAUGCAUCUGGUCUUGGCCUUCAUCUACAUGGAGGUAGUGAUAAUCAGAAGGGCCAGGAAUCUUUAUUGACAAGAGUCAUGGAAGGAGUAAACUGCUGAAGGACUGGCUGAAGAGGAGUCAAAAUUGGCAGCUUCCAUGUCCGUCUUAAAGCAGAGAAGCAGGAGAAGCUGGCCAAUGUUGCACCCCAGUUAGUCUUUGAAGAAGUACUCUCCCACAAUGCUGUCCUAGAGGAGAUUGUGCUGGAAAGUCUUGCAGCAGAACUGGAAGCCUCCUAUGACCACGGUGUGAAUGAGGAAGAAGCACUUGCCCAGAACAUAGGACAGUCAGCUGCAAGAUUGAAGAGAGAGCUCUGGAAUUCAACAGAGAUUGCUGUUGUUGUUGGCAACGUGUUAGUGGCUGCUGUCCUUGUUGCAUACUAUAAUACCCCCACCAUGCAGCUCAUACCAUGUGGAGCUUGUCAACUCUUGGAUAGAAAGGUUAAGGAAUUGCAUAUAACAGUAACAGAUGACCUAAUUCUUAUCAAGAUUCUGAUGUCUUCCCUCAAAUAUCAACCCAACCUUCGAUGCCACUAUAAUGGGAAAUAAAUUUAUGGCGGUUGAGUAUGACAACGACGACCACAUCGAUUACCAUGGAACUCAUCACACACCCAGGCAGCCAGAUUAGCGAUGGAUACAGAAAUGAUGAAGGAGGCAUAUAUCUAUUUUGUAAAAGGGUGUUGCAAGAAACUUCCAAUUGAUUGCAAGUCAUUUUCAGGUCCCAAAAUCAUUUGACACGCAUUUCAUUGCAAUUUUGCAAUUGAUUGAUGGUUUCCUCCUUGUAUCAACAAAAUUGAUUUGCUUUACUUAAAAUUGAUCUAUCGAUUGUCAAUAUGCAUCUGAACUUUGCAAUUGAUUUAUUGUCAGUAAUUUCUUGCAACACCCCAAAGCAAUACUGUCAAAUCUUCUAUUAAGUCCACCCAAGAGGAGCAGGAGAAAGGUGGCCACUAAAGUCAGGUGGUCUUACAGACAGGUUAUAUCACAAAUUCCUUUCUAAUCAGAGACAAUUUUUGUUGCCACUUAAGUCAGGUUUUUUAUUAUACAUGAAGAUAGGUGGCCACUAUGAGAGAUUUAACUGUACCUCGAAAUGUCAAAAAAUUUACCUCCAAUUUUGAUAAUAUUGUCAGUGUUAUAUUUGUUUGAUUUUCUCAAGCUAUUUGAAUAAACUCAUUAAUGAUUGAUUUUAUAGACUUUUAAUAGUGAGGGCUUGAAAGUAUAUCACAUUUUGGGGUGUUGCUUGACAUUUUGGUUGGGGGUGUAAGACCAACGCAUAUAUCAUAUUAAAGAAAAAGGAAAAUCCUUCAAAGAUUAAAAAAGUUAUUUGAAUUUUUUUUUAAUUUGUGACGUCAUAUACAUGUUUAUAUAUGGCCCAUAUAAAAUGCAUGAAUUUCAAUUUUAUGACUUUAAAAAAUCUUUCAGAAGCGGGUGUGAAAUAAUUAAUCUGUUAUACAGAUGGUACAAUAAUAUCCAUUGGUGGCACGCUAUGAAUUAUCCAAGAGAGAAAAAAGAAGCAUGACAUCAUCUUUUAAAUCAUACCCCCCCAAAAAAAAAAAAAAAUUACCAUAGUGUCACUCCUGAAUAUUACUCUUUAUGAUUUAUUUUCUCUUUGACACUGGUUGCAAAUUGAUUUUGAAAUCUAAAUGUUGUACUUGUAUACAAAAAAAAAAGCUCUUUCACUGCUCCAAGCCUCGAGAACAAUCGGUUUGAGUACUAUUCUUAGUGUUAAUAUCCAACUGGGACUUCAAGUAUGCCUAACAGAAGACAAUUCAUGGACUGACAUAGUAAUACACCCAGCUCAUGACGUAGCACAUCUUAUUCUCUUAAUCCCCCAGCCCCUUAUGGCUGCCAUAUAGGUUACAGUGUUUUUGAAGUUGAAUUCUCUUUCUCAAUGUGCAUUAUUCUACAAAAAUAUUUUUUUUAAAUACCAAUUAUUUUGUGUGUGUUCAGAAUAUUUAAAUUCCACCAAUUUGCCUUCGUAAAUUAAAAUGUUUAUAUUUUCAUGAUGUAUUUUUAAGUCCAGUCAAAAUAAAACAAAAUGAAGAUUGUUAAUAUUCAAAAUAUGCUGCUGCUCACUUGGACCAUCUUUAUUGCUGGUCUACUUUUCAUAAACAUUCCUGAAACAAAUAGCCAGUGAUUUUUUUUAUGACUGCGUAUUAAAAGUUACUGAAAUCAUUGCAUCUGAUUGGCUCAGAGCAAAUUUGAUGUUUCAUGAAACCACCCUAGACCAUAUGGCUGUUUUAAAGACUAAAUACUACUGUGAAAGUCCAUCCCAAUAAAGAGUUGAUUUGAAUUGUAUGAAUAAUACAAUAAGCGAGGAAUCUCACUGUGUUUCACUUUAUAUUGAAGAUAAAAUGAAGAUAUUUCAUAUUUCAAAUAUUAACAUACAAAAGAAAUAGUGAUUGUAUGAUGUCAUCGAUUCCCUCAUUCGUAUCCCAACCAGGAUUUGCAAUAUAACUCUCGUGUGAAAUUAAUAAAAACUUACAAUUUCAUACCUUUCUCAUUUUAGAUCCGUUUUGAAUGAAAUUUUCAACGUUACACUUUGAUUUGACUUUCUCUUUUAAUUCAAACCAACUUCUGGUUGGGGUGGACUUUUAAGAGUUGCACGGUAUUCAGAUUCUCUAUUUAUGACAUGGCUGGGGUCCGUUUCAUAAAGCUGAUCCAAACUUUUGACUGGACUUUUUGUUAAAUAAAUGACACUGUCUGAUUU
Molecule: long non-coding RNA, 3010 nt
Organism: Lytechinus pictus (painted urchin)
Lineage: Eukaryota; Metazoa; Echinodermata; Echinoidea; Temnopleuroida; Toxopneustidae
Exons: 5
Source: RefSeq, a predicted model, not a curated record